Molecule: long non-coding RNA, 1029 nt
Filed under: Oryctolagus cuniculus (rabbit)
Lineage: Eukaryota; Metazoa; Chordata; Mammalia; Lagomorpha; Leporidae
Description: lncRNA (ENSOCUG00000034032.1)
Source: RNAcentral
AUGUCUGAGCAGGAGUGGCCCAGCCCUGCCAGGAAGUGGCUCUGGCCCUGUGCAGGUGCAUCCAAGGGACAGCGUGGGGACUGGGUGUCCCCCAGCCCUGAGCCAGGUCCUCUCCUGUCCUUUGUGUCUGCGGAAGCGCGUUAUGCACCGGCAGCUUCCUGCUGCCGACUCUGCGGGUUGUGGGGUCUGAGAACCAGGCUCCGCAGAGGUCGGGGUCUCCUGGGCAGCAUCCCCUGGCCACUCCCAGCCACAGCCAAGGUGGGGCCCAGCUGCCCCCGGGGCUCCCUGCCAGCCUGCAGGCUCACAGGUGCCCCUUCCCCCAGCUCCGGGAGUCAGCGGAGAAAGCGGAAUCCAGAUACUCUCUCCUGGUUCCUCCCUUCCCCUGGACCCUUGAUCUUGGCUGGGAAAGUAGGCCCCGGGCACGGAGGGCCUGGGCCCCACGCCGCGCUCAGAGCUGCUGGCUACGGCCGGUCACCGCUGGUUGUGUUUGAUUUUCUGACUCAAAGUCUAUUUAGAGCAGAGGAGAGUGACCAGGACAGCGGGAGCCACAAGGGGCACCAUGGGCUGAUUUUUGCUCUUCCCCAGCCGAGAGCGGUGGCUGAGCUGGCCCUUCCCUCCCUGAGGGUGAGGGGGCCCCAGGCCACCCAGAGGAGGCAAGCAGAAGAGUCAGGGAUGCAGCUGCCUAGACAAGAUGGUGGGGCGGGUGGGCCCUCACCAGUGGGUACCCAGGGCCCCCUCUUUCUCCAGGCGCCCUUGCCUGCCCCCUGCAUGUGCCCAGAAGGCAGUGUCUGUGUGGGGGCAGGAGCCCCUGGGGGAGAGCCCAGGCCUUCAUCACUCGGGGGCCUGACUGUGCCAGAGAACGGAGGGGCAGGGAGCAGUGGCCAAGGAGGACUGGUCUGGGCUUGGCGCUGUGCCCUCAUCCACCCCCAGGCACCUCACUGCCAUCCCUGCUCACCCACAGGGUCCAGCCAAGGAGGGCAGGGGGAGGAAGGGACGACUGGCCGCAGUGGACAGAGUGGGGGACACUAG